This 433-nucleotide unclassified non-coding RNA is filed under the name soil metagenome. RNAcentral describes it as "partial contains 5.8S ribosomal RNA, internal transcribed spacer 2, and large subunit ribosomal RNA". The stretch from base 1 to 120 matches the Rfam family "5.8S ribosomal RNA", at positions 35 to 154 of the family's 154-position model. The record is from RNAcentral.
GAUGAAGAACGUAGCGAAAUGCGAUACGUAAUGUGAAUUGCAGAAUUCAGUGAAUCAUCGAAUCUUUGAACGCAUAUUGCGCUCUCUGGUAUUCCGGAGAGCAUGCUUGUUUGAGUAUCAGUAAACACCUCAACUUCCAUAUCUUUUUUGAAAUGGGAGUUGGACUUGAGUGAUCCCAACGCUUUUCCUCACCGAAAAGUGGCGGGUUACUUGAAAUGCAGGUGCAGCUGGACUUUUCUCUGAGCUAUAAGCAUAUCUAAUUAGUCUGCCUAAAAAACAGAUUAUUACCUUUGCUGCAGCUAACAUAAAGGAGAUUAGUUCUUGUGCUGACUGAUGCAGGAUUCACAAAGACAGGCUUCGGCCGACUUUGUAAACUCGAUCUCAAAUCAAGUAAGACUACCCGCUGAACUUAAGCAUAUCAAUAAGCGGAGGA